UGAAAUGUUGGGUUAAGUCCCGCAACGAGCGCAACCCUUAUCCUUUGUUGCCAGCGGUCCGGCCGGGAACUCAAAGGAGACUGCCAGUGAUAAACUGGAGGAAGGUGGGGAUGACGUCAAGUCAUCAUGGCCCUUACGAGUAGGGCUACCCACGUGCUACAAUGGCGCAUACAAAGAGAAGCGACCUCGCGAGAGCAAGCGGACCUCAUAAAGUGCGUCGUAGUCCGGAUUGGAGUCUGCAACUCGACUCCAUGAAGUCGGAAUCGCUAGUAAUCGUAGAUCAGAAUGCUACGGUGAAUACGUUCCCGGGCCUUGUACACACCGCCCGUCACACCAUGGGAGUGGGUUGCAAAAGAAGUAGGUAGCUUAACCUUCGGGAGGGCGCUUACCACUUUGUGAUUCAUGACUGGGGUGAAGUCGUAA
This 423-nucleotide ribosomal RNA is filed under the name uncultured Enterobacteriaceae bacterium. Its description in RNAcentral is "bacterial SSU rRNA". It matches the Rfam family "Bacterial small subunit ribosomal RNA", at positions 1068 to 1491 of the family's 1533-position model. Lineage: Bacteria; Pseudomonadati; Pseudomonadota; Gammaproteobacteria; Enterobacterales; Enterobacteriaceae. The record is from RNAcentral.